Molecule: ribosomal RNA, 253 nt
Filed under: uncultured bacterium
Lineage: Bacteria
Description: partial 16S ribosomal RNA
Rfam family: Bacterial small subunit ribosomal RNA
Source: RNAcentral
UACGUAGGGGGCAAGCGUUGUCCGGAAUUAUUGGGCGUAAAGAGCGUGUAGGCGGCCAGAUAAGUCCGCUGUGAAAUCUCGAGGCUCAACCUCGAGACGCCGGUGGAAACCGUAAAGCUAGAGUCCGGAAGAGGAGAGUGGAAUUCCUGGUGUAGCGGUGAAAUGCGCAGAUAUCAGGAAGAACACCCGUGGCGAAGGCGGCUCUCUGGGACGGUACUGACGCUGAGACGCGAAAGCGUGGGGAGCGAACAGG